GACGAACGCUAGCGGCGUGCCUAAGCUAUGCAAGUCGAGCGGGGUUUCAGAGUCGAGUUUCCUUCGGGAGACAAAGCACUGAAACCUAGCGGCGAACGGGUGAGUAACACGUGAGCAACCUACCCUGUUGUCCGGGAUAACAGACCGAAAGGCCUGCUAAUACCGGAUACGAAGCUCCUUCGCAUGUUGGAGCUUGGAAAGGGGCAACCCGCAAUGGGAGGGGCUUACGGCCUAUCAGCUAGUUGGUGAGGUAACGGCCCACCAAGGCGACGACGGGUAGCCGACCUGAGAGGGUGACCGGCCACACUGGGACUGAGACACGGCCCAGACUCCUACGGGAGGCAGCAAGCGGGAAUCUUGCACAAUGGGCGCAAGCCUGAUGCAGCGACGCCGCGUGAGGGAUGAAGGCCUUCGGGUCGUAAACCUCUGUUGAUGGGGACGAAGAUCUGACGGUACCCAUCGAG
This 464-nucleotide ribosomal RNA is filed under the name uncultured bacterium. RNAcentral describes it as "bacterial SSU rRNA". It matches the Rfam family "Bacterial small subunit ribosomal RNA", at positions 28 to 486 of the family's 1533-position model. The record is from RNAcentral.